This 428-nucleotide ribosomal RNA is filed under the name uncultured bacterium. RNAcentral's name for it is "partial 16S ribosomal RNA". It matches the Rfam family "Bacterial small subunit ribosomal RNA", at positions 354 to 796 of the family's 1533-position model. The record is from RNAcentral.
GUAGGGAAUAUUGCGCAAUGGACGAAAGUCUGACGCAGCGACGCCGCGUGAGUGAUGAAGGCCUUGGGGUCGUAAAGCUCUGUUGAAUGGGAAGAAAAAAAUGACGGUACCAUUCGAGGAAGGACCGGCUAACUUCGUGCCAGCAGCCGCGGUAAUACGAGGGGUCCUAGCGUUGUUCGGAAUCAUUGGGCGUAAAGGGUGUGUAGGUGGCCAUGUAAGUCAGGUGUGAAAGCCCCGGGCUCAACCCGGGAAGUGCACUUGAUACUGCGUGGCUUGAGUACCGAAGAGGGUAGUGGAAUUCCAGGUGUAGUGGUGAAAUACGUAGAUAUCUGGAGGAACACCGGUGGCGAAGGCGGCUACCUGGUCGAGUACUGACACUGAGACACGAAAGCAUGGGGAUCAAACAGGAUUAGAUACCCUAGUAGUCC